This is a small nucleolar RNA of Ictidomys tridecemlineatus (thirteen-lined ground squirrel), 70 nucleotides long. RefSeq annotates it as small nucleolar RNA SNORD34. The record is from RefSeq and is a predicted model, not a curated record. NCBI's taxonomy places the organism in Eukaryota, Metazoa, Chordata, Mammalia, Rodentia, Sciuridae.
AGCGUCCAUGAUGUUACGCAAUUACCUACAUUGUUUGAGCCUCAUGAAAACAUAACUGGCUGAGACGCCU